GGAGUUGUGGCUCAGUGGUAGAGCACUUGCCUUGUAAGUGUGAGGCACUGGGUUCAAUCCUAGCACCA
Molecule: transfer RNA, 68 nt
Filed under: Ictidomys tridecemlineatus (thirteen-lined ground squirrel)
Lineage: Eukaryota; Metazoa; Chordata; Mammalia; Rodentia; Sciuridae
Description: Spermophilus tridecemlineatus (thirteen-lined ground squirrel) tRNA
Rfam family: tRNA
About the family: Transfer RNA (tRNA) molecules are approximately 80 nucleotides in length.
Source: Rfam by way of RNAcentral